RNA transcript from Salvia miltiorrhiza (redroot sage), 3209 nucleotides. RefSeq lists it as uncharacterized. The record is from RefSeq and is a predicted model, not a curated record. The transcript is spliced from 2 exons. Lineage: Eukaryota; Viridiplantae; Streptophyta; Magnoliopsida; Lamiales; Lamiaceae.
GUAUACAUGACACUGCAUACAUGACGCUUUUUAUGAAAAAGCGUCAUGUAUGAGCGCCUUUUUGGUAUACAUGACGUUUUGAAAAAAAAACGUCAUGUAUGCAGUGUCAUGUAUAGAAUACAUGACGCUGGGUUGACACUUUUAGAAAAAGUGUCAUGUAUGAGCGUCAUUUAUUCAUAGUAUACAUGACAUUCACUGUAAAACGUCAUGUAUGUGCGUUAUUUUAAAUGCUAUACAUGACAUUUAUUCAAAUUGUCAUGUAUGUGGCUAAACAAAUUGUCAUUAAUUGUAAUAUUCUUGACAUUUGGUAUAAAACGUCAAUUAUAUUUAAAACAAGUGUCAUAUAUGUGCAUUAAUUUGAAAGGGAAAAAGAAUAAGGAUAUUCACUACUAAAUUUUUAUUUAUGUGACUGCGUCUCUAUUUUUCCCUCUUCACUCUUCUUUCACUCUCUUCUCACUCAGCGUCGUCCUCCAUCUCUCUUUCUCCGGCGUCUUCGCCGGUUCUCACAGCCACCGGCAUGGCGAACGCCGCUGGUGCUAUCCCUCUUUGUCUCUUCCUUAUUUCUCUGUGCUAAUUUUAAUCCUAAUUUCUUUAUAGAUCUGUAAACCCUAAUUUCCUCGACGAUUCUCAAUCUCCCUCUCGAUUCUCGUCCGUCCGGCGGAUAUCGCCGCCGUUGUCGUACUACCGCGCCUUCACACCAUUUGGACCGCUCUUCACGCACUAUGGUACUUCUCUAUAUUCUCUCUCUCUCUCUCUCUCUCUCUCUCUCUCGCUCGCGGCCCUGUUUGUUUGUCUCCUUCACGGCGGCCGUCGCGCCUCAAGAAGAACCGGCGGUCAUCGCCUCCAGCCCGACCUCUUCCGCGGUGGGUUGCAGCCGAGCCGCUGGUGUCCUUUCUUUUUUCUAAUAAUUUUGGAAUAUUGGCUACAAUUUUGUUGUCGCUUAUUUGUUGAUAAAGUGUGUCUUCGUUCUAUACUAUGGUAUUUAUUGAUUGUUUGUUGGAGCUCUCAUACUUUGAUGAGACUAGUCGUAAGCUAGAUUUCAUGUCCUUGGUAAGAUUAUUUCAUGAGAAAUGUUGUUGCAAAUGUAUUCCUUUUGAUUUUGUUGCAGUCACUGAGGAUGCUGAGUAUGGGUAAUAUGUCUUUCAUUUUUGUAUAGUAAAAGCACUUUCGACCAUUGCAUCCUUGGCUGGAUAGCCCUUUGUUGAAACUGAUAUUUAUGCCAAUUUUGCACCAUCUUAUUUGCUUUGCCUGCACUUUACUAUUUCUGCACUUCAGUUUGUUCCAAAAAAUGCAAGAAAUGUAUAGUCAAAUUUUGCAUUGGAGUGUUCUCAGUAGCCAGUAGUAAUUAAUUGAUGGAUUUAUUGGAUUGAUUGGCCCCCUCCCCCUACCCAAAAUCCAUUUCGCUGCUUGCUUAAAGAAAUUUAGACCCAAGGUAGCAACAGGUUCUCCCAUGUUUUACUAGACUAAUAUAAAUCAGGCUUUAGCUUUCAAAUAAAUGUUCCACUGUAAUAUGCCUUUUAUUAAUGCAGGUCCAUAUUAGCAUGGGAUGUCAGCCCAAUCAUUUGCAGUUUUACCACAAGUUGAUAAUUGUAAUGGUACCCAAUGUUAAUGUAUCACUUAUUUUGAUAAUCGUUCUAAAUCUCUCUCAUUUUGUAGGUCAGGUAGUUCCAGUUGCAAAACUAAAUAUUAAGCUUCAGGUUGCUCCUAUUAUUCCUCAUCCACACGUGAAAAGGAAAGCAAUUGCAAAUCCCAGAGCACUUUCAGGUCAAUGGAGGAAAAUCAGUCCACAACCUGCUAUUAGUGACUCUAUACCUCAACAAAGGCAGAGCAUUCCAGCUAGUCCAGCUCCUAUUAAUAUUCCACCUGCGCCUCUUCGUGUAAAAUGGAAAGGUAGGUGUCCUGUUAGCAGUUUUAGAUACAUUAAUUGCGCAUUGGAAUGAAAGAAACAAGUUGUUAGAUCAGGCAUAGCAGAGGAGAUAAUUUACGUAAAAUCAUGACUUAGGCUUAUUAGCUAGGCCAUAAUUUCCUGGAUUUAAAUGUCUUGAUAUUAGUGAAAAUUUUAUGGAAGAACUUCACUACGGAUGAUAUUGGUGAGCCUCAGGAAGAGUCUCCAAUUAGUAAUAUAUGUUUAUAGAUUAAGUAAAUCUCGUAGAAACUCAAGCUUAGAAUUUGUAUAUUUAGGAUCAUGAAUUUUGUAAUUAUGCUUUGAAUGAAGGGAACAUUGAUCUAAGUGACAAUACUAUUUUAGACAUCUCUAACUGUCUCUAUUAUUGGAAUACUAAUAAGUUUUUAAAAUCCUCUGUUGUAACUUAAAUUUGUCUUCUGCCACAUUAAACUAAUUUUUCCUUAUGUGAUACCAGAUAUGAUCUGCAAAAAAUGGUUGUGUCUUCAUCAGACAAACACAAAGGGACUGAAUAACUGUGUGCCUUAUAAUAUAGGGCUUAAAACAUAUUUCAUCUAUCGAAGACUAAAUAACUCAGUUUGUAUUUAGUAAGGCAGUUUUCAAUGUUUAGUGGGUUGUAUUGAGCUUCUAUUUUCCGGCUAAAGAUUGAAUUGGUUCAUCAUUGAAUACUUACUGGUCUUGUGGAUUAGAGCCACAAACAAUUCUUGGCCUAUAGGCCAGCUUGUUAGAGGAAGGGAGCUUUAUAUGGUCUAGAAAAGGCAGGGAGAACCUUCUGUAUGCCACUGAUGCUGCUGAGAAGUUCAGUGAAAGGUAGCAAUUUCUUUUCUUUGAUGGUGCGAAUUUAUACAAGGUACUUUUCAUACAAAAGGUAUGAUUUUCACUAAUUGGUUGUCUUUUCUUUUAUUGUGCCAUCAGAUAAUUGGAAAUUAUCAGUUUCUAUUUCAUAUUAUGUUGAUAAAAGAUCUCAGUGUAGUUUUAGACUAUUCUCCAUCAGAAGGGCGAGUUACUUGGUAAUGAGAACAUUAAUAGAGUUAUAAUGUGGAAGAAAGCUAGAGUGAAAAGAGAUAAGACCGUUGAGAAUGAAGACUUAAAGAAAGCAAGGUGGAAAUGAAGAUUUAAAGAAAGCAAGGUGGAAAUGAAAACUUAAAGAAAGCAAGGUGGGAGCAUUGAGAAUGAAGACUUGUAGCUUUUUGUAUGGAUGUUGGAGAUGUUGUAAAAUAAUAGAUCUUUUGUGGAUGUUGGAUGAUUGAUUAUUAUAGAUGAUUAAAUGACAUCUUCAAUAUGUAUAAAUUUAUUAUUUUUACAA